This is a long non-coding RNA of Poecilia latipinna (sailfin molly), 322 nucleotides long. RefSeq lists it as uncharacterized. The transcript has 2 exons. Lineage: Eukaryota; Metazoa; Chordata; Actinopteri; Cyprinodontiformes; Poeciliidae. The record is from RefSeq and is a predicted model, not a curated record.
CUGUAUCAACGUUAAUAAAACAGUAUUUAAAAAGGCUCCGUAAUGUUAGCCAACUAACAAAUUACUAUUGCUAUCCUAGCAUAUCAACUAACAGCUAGAAAAAACCAAAACACGUACCUUCGUAGUCAAACUGGUAUCAGUCAGCGAGGAAUUUGUCCAGUUUAGAUUAUGUUGAUGAAGAAAAACUGUUUGCAAAUAGUGAUAUAUCUUCAAAUCGUAUUUGUGGCAGCUGCUUUAGAGUCCAGAAACAGCGUUAACUACACACACCGGAACUGAAGAUACACUGCUUCUAGUCAAAACGGAUGUUGUCUGACGUCAUGUG